Molecule: long non-coding RNA, 233 nt
Filed under: Elaeis guineensis (African oil palm)
Lineage: Eukaryota; Viridiplantae; Streptophyta; Magnoliopsida; Arecales; Arecaceae
Description: long non-coding RNA (EGUI_LNC013113)
Source: RNAcentral
CAGCUUCUUGCUUUGUUGGGGCUAAUAAAUAUAGGACUAAAAUUUGGUGACCAAAAACUUGAAUCUAUCAAAUGUCCAGUAGGAGAUGGCUAGGUGCAACCAGGUCAGCAGCAUUGCUUAGUGGCAUCAUUUGUUAAAUUCACAACUUGUGGACAAUUCUUCAUCAACAUCAUAGGUAAUUACAUUGUAACAAUUGAACUCCAACCACUCACAAGCUUGAUGAGGCUGACAUC